Molecule: ribosomal RNA, 492 nt
Filed under: uncultured bacterium
Lineage: Bacteria
Description: partial 16S ribosomal RNA
Rfam family: Bacterial small subunit ribosomal RNA
Source: RNAcentral
AGUGAACGCUGGCGGUAGGCCUAACACAUGCAAGUCGAACGGCAGCACAGUAAGAGCUUGCUCUUACGGGUGGCGAGUGGCGGACGGGUGAGGAAUACAUCGGAAUCUACUUUUUCGUGGGGGAUAACGUAGGGAAACUUACGCUAAUACCGCAUACGACCUACGGGUGAAAGCAGGGGAUCUUCGGACCUUGCGCGAUUGAAUGAGCCGAUGUCGGAUUAGCUAGUUGGCGGGGUAAGGGCCCACCAAGGCGACGUUCCGUAGCUGGUCUGAGAGGAUGAUCAGCCACACUGGAACUGAGACACGGUCCAGACUCCUACGGGAGGCAGCAGUGGGGAAUAUUGGACAAUGGGCGCAAGCCUGAUCCAGCCAUACCGCGUGGGUGAAGAAGGCCUUCGGGUUGUAAAGCCCUUUUGUUGGGAAAGAAAAGCAGCAGGUUAAUACCCCGCUGUUCUGACGGUACCCAAAGAAUAAGCACCGGCUAACUUCGUG